RNAcentral lists this ribosomal RNA (496 nucleotides) under uncultured bacterium. RNAcentral describes it as "partial 16S ribosomal RNA". It matches the Rfam family "Bacterial small subunit ribosomal RNA", at positions 29 to 507 of the family's 1533-position model. The record is from RNAcentral.
AUGAACGCUGGCGGCGUGCCUAAUACAUGCAAGUCGAGCGAACAGACGAGGAGCUUGCUCCUCUGACGUUAGCGGCGGACGGGUGAGUAACACGUGGAUAACCUACCUAUAAGACUGGGAUAACUUCGGGAAACCGGAGCUAAUACCGGAUAAUAUAUUGAACCGCAUGGUUCAAUAGUGAAAGACGGUUUUGCUGUCACUUAUAGAUGGAUCCACGCCGCAUUAGCUAGUUGGUAAGGUAACGGCUUACCAAGGCGACGAUGCGUAGCCGACCUGAGAGGGUGAUCGGCCACACUGGAACUGAGACACGGUCCAGACUCCUACGGGAGGCAGCAGUAGGGAAUCUUCCGCAAUGGGCGAAAGCCUGACGGAGCAACGCCGCGUGAGUGAUGAAGGUCUUCGGAUCGUAAAACUCUGUUAUUAGGGAAGAACAAAUGUGUAAGUAACUAUGCACGUCUUGACGGUACCUAAUCAGAAAGCCACGGCUAACUACGUG